This is a long non-coding RNA of Drosophila sulfurigaster albostrigata, 614 nucleotides long. RefSeq lists it as uncharacterized. The transcript has 3 exons. The record is from RefSeq and is a predicted model, not a curated record. NCBI's taxonomy places the organism in Eukaryota, Metazoa, Arthropoda, Insecta, Diptera, Drosophilidae.
CACAAUGUUUGACAAAUUUGUUCGUCAGUUGUCAAUCAGUUGUCGAAGUCACAAAAUGAUCGGAAUACAUUUCGUGAUCGUCGCGUUGCUUGUAGUAGAAAUCAAAGCCAAUUGUUUAGUUAGAGAUGCCGAUGUCUUGGCAACCAAUCGAAUAUUUGCCAAACGCGUCUCAUCUUGAGUUACUUCGCAAUAAUCUAGUUCCAACUGGCAGCAGAUUGAGAUUAUUAUGUAGUUCCAGCGAUUUUGUGGAUUCCACUUGUCGAAGAAAUCGCAGAUUUGUUCCUGCAUUGUCAGCGUCAAAUUGUAUACGAAAACCCGAAGCAAUUGUUGAGUUGGUCGAUAACGAUAAUUGUCCUUUUAGUAAGUUUCAUGUGGGAUACAAAUUGAACGCGCAACAGUUUCUUGAAGUAUAUAGAAGUUGCUAUGACAUUGCAAUACAAAGAUCAGUCUUUUCCAUUAAUGAAUUAUAUCGUCACAAUCUAACCUCAAAAUGUAUCUCCUCUGGCUUUACCACAGAAAACGUGACUAUAUCUCGCUCCUUUCAGGCCAAGAGUAUACUAAAUAGGUUCAAUUAAAUUCUUGGAAAACAGAAUUACACAUCGAACGAUCGACCG